UACGAAGGGGGCUAGCGUUGUUCGGAUUCAUUGGGCGUAAAGGGUGCGUAGGUGGCGCCAUAAGUCAGGUGUGAAAUCUCGGGGCUCAACCCCGAAACUGCAUUUGAUACUGUGGUGCUCGAGUACUGGAGAGGAGAUUGGAAUUUACGGUGUAGCAGUGAAAUGCGUAGAUAUCGUAAGGAAGACCAGUGGCGAAGGCGAAUCUCUGGACAGUUACUGACACUGAGGCACGGAGGCCAGGGGAGCAAACGGG
This 253-nucleotide ribosomal RNA is filed under the name uncultured bacterium. RNAcentral describes it as "partial 16S ribosomal RNA". It matches the Rfam family "Bacterial small subunit ribosomal RNA", at positions 524 to 776 of the family's 1533-position model. The record is from RNAcentral.